GAGUUUGAUCUUGGCUCAGGAUGAACGCUGGCGGCGUGCUUAACACAUGCAAGUCGAACGAGGAAUUUUAAAUGAGACUUCGGUGGAUUUUAAAAUUCUUAGUGGCGGACGGGUGAGUAACGCGUGGGCAACCUGCCCUGUACAGGGGGACAACAGCUGGAAACGGCUGCUAAUACCGCAUAAGACCACGGAGCCGCAUGGCUCAGUGGGAAAAACUACCGGUGGUACAGGAUGGGCCCGCGUUGGAUUAGGUAGUUGGUGAGGUAACGGCCCACCAAGCCGACGAUCCAUAGCCGACCUGAGAGGGUGACCGGCCACGUUGGGACUGAGACACGG
RNAcentral lists this ribosomal RNA (336 nucleotides) under uncultured microorganism. RNAcentral describes it as "bacterial SSU rRNA". It matches the Rfam family "Bacterial small subunit ribosomal RNA", at positions 9 to 329 of the family's 1533-position model. The record is from RNAcentral.